UACGUAGGGUGCAAGCGUUGUCCGGAAUUAUUGGGCGUAAAGAGCUCGUAGGCGGUCUGUCGCGCCGGCUGUGAAAUCCCGGAGCUCAACUCCGGGUCUGCAGUCGAUACGGGCAAACUGGAGUACUGCAGGGGAGACUGGAAUUCCUGGUGUAGCGGUGAAAUGCGCAGAUAUCAGGAGGAACACCGGUGGCGAAGGCGGGUCUCUGGGCAGUAACUGAUGCUGAGGAGCGAAAGCGUGGGGAGCGAACAGG
RNAcentral lists this ribosomal RNA (253 nucleotides) under uncultured bacterium. Its description in RNAcentral is "partial 16S ribosomal RNA". It matches the Rfam family "Bacterial small subunit ribosomal RNA", at positions 524 to 776 of the family's 1533-position model. The record is from RNAcentral.